CGGACGGGGGAGUAAUGUCUGGGAAACUGCCCGAUGGAGGGGGGUAACUACUGGAACGGUAGCUAAUACCGCAUAACGUCGCAAGACCAAAGAGGGGGACCUUAGGGCCUCUUGCCAUCGGAUGUGCCCAGAUGGGAUUAGCUAGUAGGUGGGGUAACGGCUCACCUAGGCGACGAUCCCUAGCUGGUCUGAGAGGAUGACCAGCCACACUGGAACUGAGACACGGUCCAG
RNAcentral lists this ribosomal RNA (231 nucleotides) under uncultured bacterium. RNAcentral describes it as "partial 16S ribosomal RNA". It matches the Rfam family "Bacterial small subunit ribosomal RNA", at positions 99 to 334 of the family's 1533-position model. The record is from RNAcentral.